AUUGAACGCUGGCGGCAUGCCUUACACAUGCAAGUCGAACGGCAGCACGGGGGCAACCCUGGUGGCGAGUGGCGAACGGGUGAGUAAUGCAUCGGAAUGUGCCCAGUAGUGGGGGAUAACGUAGCGAAAGCUACGCUAAUACCGCAUACGACCUACGGGUGAAAGCGGGGGACCGACAGGCCUCGCGCUAUUGGAGCAGCCGAUGUCUGAUUAGCUAGUUGGUGGGGUAAAGGCCUACCAAGGCGACGAUCAGUAGCUGGUCUGAGAGGACGAUCAGCCACACUGGGACUGAGACACGGCCCCAGACUCCUACGGGAGGCAGCAGUGGGGAAUUUUGGACAAUGGGCGAAAGCCUGAUCCAGCAAUGCCGCGUGUGUGAAGAA
RNAcentral lists this ribosomal RNA (383 nucleotides) under uncultured Burkholderiales bacterium. RNAcentral describes it as "bacterial SSU rRNA". It matches the Rfam family "Bacterial small subunit ribosomal RNA", at positions 29 to 412 of the family's 1533-position model. Lineage: Bacteria; Pseudomonadati; Pseudomonadota; Betaproteobacteria; Burkholderiales. The record is from RNAcentral.